GUGGGGAAUAUUGGACAAUGGGCGCAAGCCUGAUCCAGCCAUGCCGCGUGAGUGAUGAAGGCCCUAGGGUUGUAAAGCUCUUUCACCGGAGAAGAUAAUGACGGUAUCCGGAGAAGAAGCCCCGGCUAACUUCGUGCCAGCAGCCGCGGUAAUACGAAGGGGGCUAGCGUUGUUCGGAAUUACUGGGCGUAAAGCGCACGUAGGCGGACAUUUAAGUCAGGGGUGAAAUCCCGGGGCUCAACCCCGGAACUGCCUUUGAUACUGGGUGUCUGGAGUAUGGAAGAGGUAAGUGGAAUUCCGAGUGUAGAGGUGAAAUUCGUAGAUAUUCGGAGGAACACCAGUGGCGAAGGCGGCUUACUGGUCCAUUACUGACGCUGAGGUGCGAAAGCGUGGGGAGCAAAUGGGAUUAGAUACCCUGGUAGUCC
This 425-nucleotide ribosomal RNA is filed under the name uncultured bacterium. RNAcentral describes it as "partial 16S ribosomal RNA". It matches the Rfam family "Bacterial small subunit ribosomal RNA", at positions 354 to 796 of the family's 1533-position model. The record is from RNAcentral.